RNAcentral lists this ribosomal RNA (253 nucleotides) under uncultured bacterium. RNAcentral describes it as "partial 16S ribosomal RNA". It matches the Rfam family "Bacterial small subunit ribosomal RNA", at positions 524 to 776 of the family's 1533-position model. The record is from RNAcentral.
UACGUAGGGGGCUAGCGUUGUCCGGAAUUACUGGGCGUAAAGAGCGUGUAGGCGGUCAGGUAGGUCCGUUGUGAAAACUCGAGGCUCAACCUCGAGACGCCGAUGGAAACCAUCUGACUAGAGUCCGGAAGAGGAGAGUGGAAUUCCUGGUGUAGCGGUGAAAUGCGCAGAUAUCAGGAAGAACACCCGUGGCUAAGGCGGCUCUCUAGUACGGUACUGACGCUGAGACGCGAAAGCGUGGGGAGCGAACAGG